GACGAACGCUGGCGGCGUGCUUAACACAUGCAAGUCGAACGGAAAGGCCCUGCUUUUGUGGGGUGCUCGAGUGGCGAACGGGUGAGUAACACGUGAGUAACCUGCCCUUGACUUUGGGAUAACUUCAGGAAACUGGGGCUAAUACCGGAUAGGAGCUCCUGCUGCAUGGUGGGGGUUGGAAAGUUUCGGCGGUUGGGGAUGGACUCGCGGCUUAUCAGCUUGUUGGUGGGGUAGUGGCUUACCAAGGCUUUGACGGGUAGCCGGCAUGGGAGGGUGACCGGCGACAUUGGGACUGAGAUACGGCCCAGACUCCUACGGGAGGCAGCAGUGGGGAAUAUUGCACAAUGGGCGGAAGCCUGAUGCAGCAACGCCGCGUGCGGGAUGCCGGCCUUCGGGUUGUAAACCGCUUUCGCAUGUGACGAAGCGUGCGUGACGGUAAUGGGUAAAGAAGCACCGGCUAACUACGUG
This 468-nucleotide ribosomal RNA is filed under the name uncultured bacterium. RNAcentral describes it as "partial 16S ribosomal RNA". It matches the Rfam family "Bacterial small subunit ribosomal RNA", at positions 28 to 507 of the family's 1533-position model. The record is from RNAcentral.